GCCGGGCAUGGUGGCCCACCCCUGUAAUCCCAGCAACUUGGGAGGCUGAGGCAGGUGAAUUGCAAAUUCAAGCCCAUCCUCAGCAAUUUAGCAAGACCCUGUCUACA
RNAcentral lists this small RNA (107 nucleotides) under Marmota monax (woodchuck). Lineage: Eukaryota; Metazoa; Chordata; Mammalia; Rodentia; Sciuridae. The record is from RNAcentral.